RNAcentral lists this long non-coding RNA (1390 nucleotides) under Numida meleagris (helmeted guineafowl). RNAcentral's name for it is "lncRNA (ENSNMEG00000005627.1)". The record is from RNAcentral. Lineage: Eukaryota; Metazoa; Chordata; Aves; Galliformes; Numididae.
AUGGGUCAUCUUCUUCCCAAAAGGCGACUGAGAGCCGGAGGAAUUAAUGAAGUCCUCUGCAGCUGGCUCGAAAAUGCAGCUGCGUGGUUCCAUCCUGUGCCCCUAGGCUGCAGCCAGAGGCUGCCAGGCCCCUUCCCUGCUCGUCCCCUCCCCCUGCCCCCGCCCCCCGAGCAGAGGGGUCAACGUGUCACCUCCGUUCCUUUCCAACCCCACGAUGCAGUUACAACACGCUUCUGCCUCCUAUUUAACAGCAGGAAAGCCUCAGAGAAGCACUUCUUGCAACAUGCCCUGAGAUGCUGGAGGAGGAUGCUCCCCUUCACUUCAGUCUGGGAGUCAGGAGCAGGCUGGAUGCUCAGGUCCUUGCAAGGGGAUGGAAAAAGACAGACGUGAGCCCCGGUUUGGAUUGCUCUCAUUGGGAAGGAUCAUACAGAGACCUCCAAGCAAACAUAGUCUUGUCUGGGGCUGGAAAUAGAUUUGAACUUGCAUCAGGGCAGCAUGAGUGGAAAAGUUUAUGGAUUUGGACACAGUGCUGCUGUAAAGUGGCUACCCACUUCUUGGAUUCUAGUUAUUCACUUUCUCAGAGUACUCCACGCUUCAUGCUGAGUGCACUGCUCUUACAUCCUAGGUUGUAUAACCCAUUACAUCCUUGUGGUUAAAGCCUUUGGAGCAGUUCAGAUUAUUUCAGGUUAAUAAGAAACGAUUAAGAUCGUUGCUGUUGUUUCUCACCGUAGAAUCAGAGAGUCACAGAAUGGCUUGGGUUGGAAGGAACUUUAAUCAUCUAGUUCCAGCUCCCUUUUGGAGAUGUAGAAAGGCCUUGCCAUGGAUUUUAAGUCAUAAAUUAUCUGCGACGUUCAGCUGUGUAACACAGAUGUUAGAGCUUCCCUGAUAUCGUAGAGUCAUAGAAUCAUUAGAGUGUGAAGGAACCUUUAAAGGUCAUCUCAUCCAAGUCCCGUGCAGUGAACAGGGACAUCCACAGCUAGAUCAGGUUUCUCAUGGCCUGGUCCAGCCUCACCUUGAAAGUCUCAAGGGAUGGGGUGUCCACCACAUCUCUGGGCAACCUGUAUGUAAUAUAGUGCUAAUUCCAUUAUCUGGAAGGGGUAUGUGCGUGUCCAAACACAGCACACAGAUGGCCAGUUAGUGUGAGCUCUUAAUAGCACUCUCCAGACAAGAUGCCCAUUCUGUCUCAACUUCACCUCAUUUUCAAGUGUCUGAGAGAGAAAGAGGGUCAGCGUCUUUCCUUGCAUUAUGGCUGCUCCCAGCCAUGAAAAGCAAACCCAUUGCCUAUUCCGUUCCUCUAUUUUAUUGGACUUGGGCAAGAGGCCUUCUUGUGCUCCGUGAGUACCUUCCCAUGGUGCAUGCGUGCUCAGCAUCACAGUGUGCUUCUUGCAGG